GUUCAGCAUCACGUUCGACAUGUCGGGCACUCGCAUGAUUACGACGGAAGCCGAUAAGACUAUUAAAGUGUACAAGGAAGACGACACCGCCAGCGAAGAAACGCAUCCCGUCGACUGGCGACCCGAUAUAAUAAAACGACGAAAGUACUAACUCAAAUGUAUAUACACUGAUUCAAUUAAUUUAACGUGUGACGCAUUCAAAAAUAAGAAAAAAAUAUUUUGUAUAUUAUUUAUAUAGGAUUACUUUUAUUGCCAGACUGUAAUGGAUAAAUCUGUCCAAGCUGCAAUAAAGAAAAAAA
This is a long non-coding RNA of Wasmannia auropunctata (little fire ant), 299 nucleotides long. RefSeq lists it as uncharacterized. The record is from RefSeq and is a predicted model, not a curated record. NCBI's taxonomy places the organism in Eukaryota, Metazoa, Arthropoda, Insecta, Hymenoptera, Formicidae. The transcript is spliced from 2 exons.